RNAcentral lists this ribosomal RNA (1404 nucleotides) under Triticum aestivum (bread wheat). RNAcentral describes it as "partial small subunit ribosomal RNA". The record is from RNAcentral. Lineage: Eukaryota; Viridiplantae; Streptophyta; Magnoliopsida; Poales; Poaceae.
AUGAGGUGCUACAAGGAACGAAGGAACAAGAAGGGUAAAGGUGUUGCGCCUGUCGUUCCGGAACAAAAGAGAGGUAUCAUUCUCAAGACAGAAUGCCCUGUCUGGUGUAAGCUGAACGUAGAUGGAGCACGGUGGGUGGUCACUGAAUAUUUUAAUGAGCACAACCACGAACUCAUAAAGAAGUUCGACUUGGUAAAAUUUCUGCCCGCCCACAGAAGAUUCACCCCCCUCGAGAAGAAAUUCAUAAAGCUGCUACAUGAUUGUAACGUCGGUCCAUCAAGAAUGGUCCAGAUACUAUCACUCAUCCACAGCAAAAAUGGGACUCUGAGUAGCAUGCCCUACAUACCAGCUGACGUCACAAACCUAAAGGCAAAGUACCAUAGAGAGAGCAAGUUGGCUAACAUAGAGGCCACGAUGGUCUACUUCGAUGAGAAAGCGAAGGAAGAUCUAGAUUUAUUCUAUAGGAUAAGAUUGGACGAUGAGGACCGUGUCAGGAACAUGUAUUGGGUGGAUGGUGCUGCAAGAAGAGCCUACAAACAUUUCCGAGCUUGCAUUUCAUUCGACGCGACAUAUCUCACUAAUAUGUACAAGAUGCCAUGCGCUCCAUUCAUAGGAAUAAAUAACCACAACACGGAUGGGUACACUUGGUUGUUCAAGACCUUCUUGUGCAUGGAUGGACUUGCUCCGAUGAACAUAACAAUAGACCAGGAUUUUAGCAUGCGUGCACGCAUAGAGGAGGUCUUUCCGUUGGCAGUGCACAGGCACUACAGGUGGCACAUUAUAAAGAAGGCUGAGGAGACGCUAGGACCGUUCUUUGCUACUACGCAGGGCAUCGAGGGGUUCAAUGCUAUUUUGAAGCGGUACGACGACAUUGUGUGUUGUCACAUACUAAAAGUAAUGGACAUGAACGCAGUGACACGAAUGCCCCACCAUUUCAUAAGGCGGCGAUGGACUUGGGACGCUGACGAUGCAUUGGCGCCGCAAACAUCAAACGCAGUUUCGGUUGUGCAUGACGAGAGACCGGAGUCAGCCAUGGAAGCCGUGAGGCAUGUUGUGUUGACAAAGAAAUAUGCUGAACUAAUUGAUGAAGCGUGCAAGAGUGAUGAGACAGCGAGGGUCGCAGAAAAACAUAGGAAGGCCCUGAAAAGAGAGCUUGAUGAGAUCAAGAAGAGGAAAGCUGAGGAAGCCUUACACAGGUUCCCCCGCACAUCAAGUGUGCCUUCGUCCACGGGGCCAUCAUCUGAAAACUCGGAGGUAGGAUCUCGAACAGCAAGCACACAAACCCAGGUUAGGAACCCGCCCCGUUCCAUCACAAAGGGGCAUCCAAAAGAGAUAAGAUACAAAUCGGGAUUGGAGAUUCAAGCAAAACACAAGAAAAAAAAGAAAGGGAGGGGCAAUCCAUAA